ACUCCUACGGGAGGCAGCAGUGGGAAGUAUUGCACAAUGGGGAAACCCUGAUGCAGCCAUGCCGCGUGUGUGAAGAAGGCCUUCGGUUGUAAAGCACUUUCAGUAGGGAGGAAGGUAGUGUAGUUAACACCUGCAUUAUUUGACGUUACCUACAGAAGAAGCACCGGCUAACUCCGUGCCAGCAGCCGCGGUAAUACGGAGGGGUGCGAGCGUUAAUCGGAAUUACUGGGCGUAAAGCGCAUGCAGGCGGCCUGUUAAGUCAGAUGUGAAAGCCCGGGGGCUUAACCUCGGAAUUGCAUUUGAAACUGGCAGGCUAGAGUCUUGUAGAGGGGGUAGAAUUUCAGGUGUAGGCGGUGAAAUGCGUAGAGAUCUGAAGGAAUACCAGUGGCGAAGGCGGCCCCCGUGGACAAAGA
Molecule: ribosomal RNA, 413 nt
Filed under: uncultured bacterium
Lineage: Bacteria
Description: bacterial SSU rRNA
Rfam family: Bacterial small subunit ribosomal RNA
Source: RNAcentral